UGGUUGCCGCUACACUUGAGUUGCUGUCGACGAGUUCUGCAUUAUCUGGAAGAGUCGCGUUGCAUCUUGAUUUAAUUUUGAACGAGUGGCGGACGGGUGAGUAACACGUGGGUAACCUGCCCUUAAGUGGGGGAUAACAUUUGGAAACAGAUGCUAAUACCGCAUAAAUCCAAGAACCGCAUGGUUCUUGGCUGAAAGAUGGCGUAAGCUAUCGCUUUUGGAUGGACCCGCGGCGUAUUAGCUAGUUGGUGAGGUAACGGCUCACCAAGGCAAUGAUACGUAGCCGAACUGAGAGGUUGAUCGGCCACAUUGGGACUGAGACACGGCCCAAACUCCUACGGGAGGCAGCAGUAGGGAAUCUUCCACAAUGGACGCAAGUCUGAUGGAGCAACGCCGCGUGAGUGAAGAAGGCUUUCGGGUCGUAAAACUCUGUUGUUGGAGAAGAAUGGUCGGCAGAGUAACUGUUGUCGGCGUGACGGUAUCCAACCAGAAAGCCACGGCUAACUACGUGCCAGCAGCCGCGGUAAUACGUAGGUGGCAAGCGUUAUCCGGAUUUAUUGGGCGUAAAGCGAGCGCAGGCGGUUUUUUAAGUCUGAUGUGAAAGCCCUCGGCUUAACCGAGGAAGUGCAUCGGAAACUGGGAAACUUGAGUGCAGAAGAGGACAGUGGAACUCCAUGUGUAGCGGUGAAAUGCGUAGAUAUAUGGAAGAACACCAGUGGCGAAGGCGGCUGUCUGGUCUGUAACUGACGCUGAGGCUCGAAAGCAUGGGUAGCGAACAGGAUUAGAUACCCUGGUAGUCCAUGCCGUAAACGAUGAAUGCUAGGUGUUGGGAGGGUUUCCGCCCUUCAGGUGCCGCAGCUAACGCAUUAAGCAUUCCGCCUGGGGAGUACGGACCGCAAAGGUUGGAACUCAAAGGAAUUGACGGGGGGCCCGCACAAGCGGUGGAGCAUGGUGGGUUUAAUUCGAAGCAACGGCGAGGAACUUUACCAGGGUCUUGACAUUCUUUUAGAUCACCUGGAGAGGAUCAGGUUCCCCUUUCGGGGGGCAAAUGACAGGUGGGGCAUGGUGGUCGUCAGCUCUGUCCGUGGAGAUGUUUAGGGUUAAGGUCCCGCAACGAGCCACCCUUAUGACUAGUGCAGACAUUAAUGGCACUCUAGUGGACUGCGGGUAAACUCGGGAGAAGGCUGGG
This 1189-nucleotide ribosomal RNA is filed under the name Lacticaseibacillus rhamnosus. RNAcentral's name for it is "bacterial SSU rRNA". It matches the Rfam family "Bacterial small subunit ribosomal RNA", at positions 1 to 1178 of the family's 1533-position model. Lineage: Bacteria; Bacillati; Bacillota; Bacilli; Lactobacillales; Lactobacillaceae. The record is from RNAcentral.